This 419-nucleotide ribosomal RNA is filed under the name Salmonella enterica subsp. enterica. RNAcentral describes it as "bacterial SSU rRNA". It matches the Rfam family "Bacterial small subunit ribosomal RNA", at positions 1103 to 1522 of the family's 1533-position model. RNAcentral also lists the same sequence under 3 other names. The record is from RNAcentral. Lineage: Bacteria; Pseudomonadati; Pseudomonadota; Gammaproteobacteria; Enterobacterales; Enterobacteriaceae.
CCUUAUCCUUUGUUGCCAGCGGUUAGGCCGGGAACUCAAAGGAGACUGCCAGUGAUAAACUGGAGGAAGGUGGGGAUGACGUCAAGUCAUCAUGGCCCUUACGACCAGGGCUACACACGUGCUACAAUGGCGCAUACAAAGAGAAGCGACCUCGCGAGAGCAAGCGGACCUCAUAAAGUGCGUCGUAGUCCGGAUUGGAGUCUGCAACUCGACUCCAUGAAGUCGGAAUCGCUAGUAAUCGUGGAUCAGAAUGCCACGGUGAAUACGUUCCCGGGCCUUGUACACACCGCCCGUCACACCAUGGGAGUGGGUUGCAAAAGAAGUAGGUAGCUUAACCUUCGGGAGGGCGCUUACCACUUUGUGAUUCAUGACUGGGGUGAAGUCGUAACAAGGUAACCGUAGGGGAACCUGCGGUUGGA